Molecule: ribosomal RNA, 1237 nt
Filed under: Escherichia coli
Lineage: Bacteria; Pseudomonadati; Pseudomonadota; Gammaproteobacteria; Enterobacterales; Enterobacteriaceae
Description: partial 23S ribosomal RNA
Rfam family: Bacterial large subunit ribosomal RNA
Source: RNAcentral
CGGUGCUGAAGCAACAAAUGCCCUGCUUCCAGGAAAAGCCUCUAAGCAUCAGGUAACAUCAAAUCGUACCCCAAACCGACACAGGUGGUCAGGUAGAGAAUACCAAGGCGCUUGAGAGAACUCGGGUGAAGGAACUAGGCAAAAUGGUGCCGUAACUUCGGGAGAAGGCACGCUGAUAUGUAGGUGAAGUCCCUCGCGGAUGGAGCUGAAAUCAGUCGAAGAUACCAGCUGGCUGCAACUGUUUAUUAAAAACACAGCACUGUGCAAACACGAAAGUGGACGUAUACGGUGUGACGCCUGCCCGGUGCCGGAAGGUUAAUUGAUGGGGUCAGCGCAAGCGAAGCUCUUGAUCGAAGCCCCGGUAAACGGCGGCCGUAACUAUAACGGUCCUAAGGUAGCGAAAUUCCUUGUCGGGUAAGUUCCGACCUGCACGAAUGGCGUAAUGAUGGCCAGGCUGUCUCCACCCGAGACUCAGUGAAAUUGAACUCGCUGUGAAGAUGCAGUGUACCCGCGGCAAGACGGAAAGACCCCGUGAACCUUUACUAUAGCUUGACACUGAACAUUGAGCCUUGAUGUGUAGGAUAGGUGGGAGGCUUUGAAGUGUGGACGCCAGUCUGCAUGGAGCCGACCUUGAAAUACCACCCUUUAAUGUUUGAUGUUCUAACGUUGACCCGUAAUCCGGGUUGCGGACAGUGUCUGGUGGGUAGUUUGACUGGGGCGGUCUCCUCCUAAAGAGUAACGGAGGAGCACGAAGGUUGGCUAAUCCUGGUCGGACAUCAGGAGGUUAGUGCAAUGGCAUAAGCCAGCUUGACUGCGAGCGUGACGGCGCGAGCAGGUGCGAAAGCAGGUCAUAGUGAUCCGGUGGUUCUGAAUGGAAGGGCCAUCGCUCAACGGAUAAAAGGUACUCCGGGGAUAACAGGCUGAUACCGCCCAAGAGUUCAUAUCGACGGCGGUGUUUGGCACCUCGAUGUCGGCUCAUCACAUCCUGGGGCUGAAGUAGGUCCCAAGGGUAUGGCUGUUCGCCAUUUAAAGUGGUACGCGAGCUGGGUUUAGAACGUCGUGAGACAGUUCGGUCCCUAUCUGCCGUGGGCGCUGGAGAACUGAGGGGGGCUGCUCCUAGUACGAGAGGACCGGAGUGGACGCAUCACUGGUGUUCGGGUUGUCAUGCCAAUGGCACUGCCCGGUAGCUAAAUGCGGAAGAGAUAAGUGCUGAAAGCAUCUAAGCACGAAACUUGCC